Long non-coding RNA from Cydia amplana, 987 nucleotides. RefSeq lists it as uncharacterized. The record is from RefSeq and is a predicted model, not a curated record. Lineage: Eukaryota; Metazoa; Arthropoda; Insecta; Lepidoptera; Tortricidae. The transcript has 2 exons.
CUACAUAAUUCCGAAAUAUUUUAUGCCGAAUUUUAGAAUAUCGAAUUUUAUUAUUCCGUUUUUUAAAUGCUCGACCCAUCAAAAUUCCGACUGUCGUAAUUACGAAAGAUGAAAAUCACGAAAGUGUAUAUUUCCGAAUAGCAAAAAAGACGAUUUUUUUAAAUUCCGAACCACAUAAUUCCGAAUAUAAAAAUUCCGAUAGUGAUAAACGCCGAAUUUAACAUUUACGAUUUUUGAAAUCACGAAUUCCGAAAUGCCAUUAUUCCGAAAAUUUGAAUUCCGAUUCCACGUGACACCUAUUUUAAAUAUCCCCAUUUUUUAAAUUCCGAAUUUAUCGAUUCGUCGCAGUUCUAACCUAACCUAACCCACUUUUCUGGCAACAGUUCGUUUUCUUGGGGGUCGCAGUUCUAACCUUUUUUUUUUUUUUUUUUUUUUUUUUUUUUUUUUUUUAUUUUUAUUUGGGGGGAAAAUGCAUUCCGCAUACCACACGGGUGCGAGGGGUGACCCGAGUGGUUAUGUGGGACUCCCGUCUAGGCUAAUGAGGCCCACGGUAUACCCACUAAAAACCCCCCAUAUGCCGCCUCGCCGCCCUAUUGGUGGGGUUACGGGAACGCUUGCGUGCUCAUCCGCGACCCCACCGGCGGCAGCCGCCUACGAGCGGCUCCUUCGCGAAUUCCCGAAGGCCCUUCACGUUAGGCGCGCCAGAUGGUUCGGCGCGCCUUCCUCCUCGGCCUCCGUUCUGCACUGUAGCGGACCCCCCCGAGCCCGCCACAAGGAAGCCACGGACGCCAGAAAAUUCCCCGGCGCCCGGCGACAGAUCAGGUCUAUGGUCCUGCCGCAAUACCACAACUCGGCUGCAGAGGAUAGGGAGAACGGCACAUCGUAACACCGACACUCCUCUUCCUCUGCAGCCCCACCAACGCCGCUACAGCGGAACGGCCCCGCCAAGUUCGCAGGGGAUAGGGAGAGUGGCGUAUCGUAAUACCA